UGUUUUACUUGGCGAACGGUUGUGAUUUUUUUCGAAGGCGGUUUUAAAGAAGAAUAAAGGUUUUGAAAAAAGACGUAAUUUACGCCGAAAAUUGAAAAUAUAAUUUCAGUGGAAAUGGAAAAAAAUUAAAAAUUAAUAGAUGGUGUUGGUAAACAGAAAAAUAAAUUAUAAAAGUGUAAUAAACAUUUAAGAUAAUUAAGCAAAAACCGAAUUUGAAUUCUUAGUGGAAGUUAAGUGAUUUUUGAAAAAUAACUAUAAAGAUGCUUAAUGCAAAACAAGUAGAAGUUUUACAUUUGGCUGUGCCAAAUUUUAAAUAUCCUUUACCAUGAUGUGUUUCAAAUCAAAAAAUAUUAGCUGAAAGAAGAACAAGUAAGACUAUUAUAUUCGUCUAUGACGAAUCUUAUUUAUCCACCAUCAAAUCAUAACCUGUACAAUUGACAUUAAUUUCGAAUAGCAAAGAGAGUUAAAGAAAUUUCACUGAUAGAAAUCUGAGAGAUUCGAAUCCCUUAUAUAUCUGGGAUCUUCUGAAAUCUGUUUUCAACAUUCAUACAGAGAGACGGACGAUUAGAAGGGCAAACAGACAUUUAAAAAACGAUUUUGCUAUCUGUUAAGAUACAGAAUAUACAAAAUUCACAAGGUCGAAAAAUUAUAUUAUAGAAAUUACAAACGGAAUGACAAUGUUAUAUAUUCGCCACCUUGCGCACGAAGGUAAAGGAUUUAAAAAAAUUGCACUUAAAUAAUUAAGUUAAUUAUACAAAAACUGAAUUUGAAUUCUAAGUGGCAAAUAAGUGACAUUAAAAAAUUAAGUAAAAAUAAUAUUUUGAAAACUAAAAUAAAUUUACAUCUUCUACUGUGAAAAAGAGAGAAAUUACAAUAUGCUGAAAGUGUUUUUACGAAUUGACAGAAAUUUUUGACUUUCAAAACGUCCAAAUUUUAUUUGAAUACUUAGAAAUAAUAAUAAAAAAACAUGGAUAAAUAUGGAUUAAUCUUACUUAAGGAAUAAACUGAGAAAAGUAAUAAUCAACAAUAAAGCAGUAUUCGAUCGUAUAUUGAUCAUAUCUUAAAGAGAUGAUUUUAUGAUUUGAAAGUCCAAAAUAGCAAACAACUUGUACAACAUGAUGAAUAACAAACACUAUGAGAUAACAACUAAUCUUUCACAAAAGGACACCUUCAAAGAUCAUAUGUUUGUAAUUGAACUAAAAACGGGUGUAUAAGGCUUCCCUGGAUAUUUGCUUUCACUCAAGGAUGACCUCCAGAAACAUAAGUUUAUAAUUCAACUAAUAAUGGUUAUA
This is a long non-coding RNA of Lucilia cuprina (Australian sheep blowfly), 1292 nucleotides long. RefSeq lists it as uncharacterized. Lineage: Eukaryota; Metazoa; Arthropoda; Insecta; Diptera; Calliphoridae. The transcript has 3 exons. The record is from RefSeq and is a predicted model, not a curated record.